GCACAUUAGUAGCCGAGGUGGUUAGUGCCUUUGGUUUCUAUCCGAGGGGUUCUGGGUUCAAAUCCCAGGCA
This 71-nucleotide transfer RNA is filed under the name Hordeum vulgare. RNAcentral describes it as "tRNA-OTHER". Lineage: Eukaryota; Viridiplantae; Streptophyta; Magnoliopsida; Poales; Poaceae. The record is from RNAcentral.